Molecule: ribosomal RNA, 550 nt
Filed under: uncultured bacterium
Lineage: Bacteria
Description: bacterial SSU rRNA
Rfam family: Bacterial small subunit ribosomal RNA
Source: RNAcentral
UGGGGAAUAUUAGACAAUGGGCGCAAGCCUGAUCCAGCCAUACCGCGUGGGUGAAGAAGGCCUUCGGAUUGUAAAGCCCUUUUGUUGGGAAAGAAAUCCAGCCGGCUAAUACCUGGUUGGGAUGACGGUACCCAAAGAAUAAGCACCGGCUAACUUCGUGCCAGCAGCCGCGGUAAUACGAAGGGUGCAAGCGUUACUCGGAAUUACUGGGCGUAAAGCGUGCGUAGGUGGUCGUUUAAGUCCGUUGUGAAAGCCCUGGGCUCAACCUGGGAACUGCAGUGGAUACUGGGCGACUAGAGUGUGGUAGAGGGUAGCAGAAUUCCUGGUGUAGCAGCGAAAUGCGUAGAGAUCAGGAGGAACAUCCAUGGCGAAGGCAGCUACCUGGACCAACACUGACACUGAGGCACGAAAGCGUGGGGAGCAAACAGGAUUAGAUACCCUGGUAGUCCACGCCCUAAACGAUGCGAACUGGAUGUUGGGUGCAAUUUGGCACGCAGUAUCGAAGCUAACGCGUUAAGUUCGCCGCCUGGGGAGUACGGUCGCAAGACUG